CCCACCGUGCGUGUUCAGAGGUCAGAGACCAUCGUGUGUGCUGUAGGGUUUAGUAAAGAAGAUCUGUUCUGGGUCCGUCUGCCUCACUCCUGUCCUUUUGCCCUGUUUGUGUUUUUUUUUUUUUUUUUCUGUCAUUUUUGUUUCAUCGCAUCACUGGCAGCGCUUUCUACCACGGGUCAGGUUUAAAGCUGAAAACUAAAACUGUUGCACCGGGAGAACCCUGGAGAGGGCGAACUGAAGUGCCAUGCUCCAACUUUUCAAAAUGUUUGAAGAGAUAGCAAAGGAGAGUUGUUACAAUGACCCCUCGCCUUCAGAAAUUAUGAAUAAACUCGAAUAAAACGUUUUAUGUCAUGGAAGUAUUGUUUUUUUAUGAAAUAAUUGAUGAUGCAGGAUUAUCAAUGAAUUAUUAAUCUUAAUCAUCUCAUGAAUUGUUAAGUGCAGAGAAUUUACAAAAGAGAGUGCCAAGGUUAGAUUAUCCCGAAAGUUGAAUUGGCUUAUUGCUUGGAUAUCUCCAGUUGUGGAGCGAGACUAUCACCCUGAGGCAGUCGGAGGACCGCAGACCCAGAGAGACCCUCACCCUGAAGUCCUCAGAGGAAAGGAGACCCAGAGAGAGCUUCACCAUGAGGAAACCCAGAGAGAGCUUCACCAUGAAGAGAUCCAGAGAGAGCUUCACCAUGAAGUCCUCAGAGGAGAGACUUUGUUUUCUCUAUUAUCACAGUUGUUUACCCAGUUUAAUGGCAGAGAUAGAGAUGGAGCAAGCGGAAGGAUAGGAGAGAAGAGAGGGAUGAGGAAGAGAGGAAUAAGGUGAGAGCGAGGGAUAGGAGAGGAGGAGGAGAAGGAGAGUGAGGAGAGAGGAGUGGAGAGGAGAGGAGCACUCUGUGGUGACGGACGUCUCCCGGAGUGGAGACCGCGCCGCCAUCACUGACGCUGCGCUCAAACUCCCAGCUGUUGUUUGUGUUGUCAUCAUGGGCCUGCGAGCUAAUGGGAUGAUUGUGGGUGUUUUGAGAGGAGCCGUCAUCCAGGCUGCCUGAGAUAUUAGACAACCCCCCCGGACCGCCGACUCCCCCAAAUAACAGCCUGCGUCGGAGGGCACAGCCCGAACCUCACGGCCGUGUCGGAACGACGCAAAAUUCAGUUUGGGAAUUUUCGCGUCCAAAUUUGACUCAAGUCCCGUUUGGAGCCAAUGAAACACAGCUUUUUUCUGCGUUAACACGCAUUGUGCUUUGCUUCGUUGCGACAAUGUGUUUGCGUGGCGCCACAAAUAGGAGGUGAAAUUCGCACUCUGUGUGCUUUUAGGUGCUCGUUGCGGACGGAGUGACAACGAUGAGCCUGUCAAAUACUGCGGAGGUGAAGCACCCAGUAUGGGUGAUAGAUUGUGUGAGCAGAGAAAGUUGUUAUGGAAACAAAUUGACCGUCAGGUUCAGACCAAGUGGAAGCCAUGAAAGCCCGGUUGUGAAGCGACUCGGAUGUAGUUCAUCUGAAGGCCUACAGGUGGCUCGCAGGUGUUGGAUGCAAAGAAGAUCAGCCAGCAUUCAGUGACCCGUCAGCAUUAAAGUUUAGAUUUCGUUCUUUUCAUUCUAGAUUUCAGUAUCACAAAGCGGAAACUGUUUUUAUUUGUCCGGCAAGGAAUAUCAGUGGCUUCUUCAUCUCCAUAUUAAAUCUUUUGAAAGGUCCUCUUUGACAGUUUUAUAUCUUUCAAAAGUUAUUAGAAAUUGAAUAUUAAUGAGUUUUGGCAACGUAGUACCACCGCCAUUAAAUUUCCGCUCUCAAUGUGCCAAAUAUGGAUCGUUUCCCCUACUGUUUGCAAAAAUGUCAACUGUAUAAGAAAAGGAUCACUCAUAACGUGAAAUCUAAGGCUUCAUAACAGUUGAAUAAACGAAUUAGAGAGAGAGAGGGAGAGAGAGAGAGAGAGAGAGAGAGAGAGAGAGAGAGAGAGAACCAUCUCAUGAUGAUAACACUGGUCUCUCUUUGCUCUCUCGUUUACUCCCUCGCUCUCUCUCGCUCUCUAUCACCCUGUCUCUCGCUCUUGCUCUCGCUCACUUUCUUUCUUGAACCCUAAUGUCAGCGGCACCGAACACAUCAUCUCCGCGGCGAUGGUGCUAAUAAACACGACCAGCAAGCGUCUGGUCUUAACUCUUCCGUCACCCCCCCUCCCCCCCGUUGGCCCCCUCCAUGAUGGAUGUGGGUGGUGUAAUGAUAACAAUGAGUGUGUGAGCAGAGGGCGGGGGUGUAGAACGGUAUUUAUUGGUAUUAUCUCGGUUCAUGAUGUCAGCCAGACUCGAUUAACUCCGGUGGCAUGCCGGGCUGGUGGAGGUGGUGGUCUUCCUUCUAGUGAGUGGGGGGGUGUGGGUGAGGGGGGCUUGGGGGUGUGGCUUUUUUUUUCUGUCGCCCACAAAGGAAUUAUUGAAGCAGACGUCCAUAUUACAGUUGGGCGUCUGUGUUUUAUAUCUGCGUCUUUGUGUGAGUGAGUGU
Gadus macrocephalus (Pacific cod) is the source of this 2472-nucleotide long non-coding RNA. RefSeq lists it as uncharacterized. Lineage: Eukaryota; Metazoa; Chordata; Actinopteri; Gadiformes; Gadidae. The record is from RefSeq and is a predicted model, not a curated record. The transcript has 3 exons.